Molecule: long non-coding RNA, 661 nt
Organism: Phalaenopsis equestris
Lineage: Eukaryota; Viridiplantae; Streptophyta; Magnoliopsida; Asparagales; Orchidaceae
Exons: 3
Source: RefSeq, a predicted model, not a curated record
UGAAGUUUGCCUUUGCCUUCUGUUACCCUCUGUUUGGGCAAAGCGCUCGGGAGUUCAACCCUUAAGACAUGGUGAACGAAGAGGUCGGAAGCAAGCUUAUACGCUUCCUUUGGUUCGUCGGGGCCGGAGUGGUCUGCACUAAGGGCAUCAAUCUAUGGAGGGAACAUGAGCAGAAGGCAGCUCUUAAAGCGGCAGAAGGCUCUUCUCCAGGGCCAACUGAGAUAGCGAACACAGUCGCUUCGAAAUCUUGAGUCCUGGUUGGUCCUUACUACAUUCGAAGUUCUGUUCUUUGAUAGAAUAGUGGGAUAUUGAAGUACCGUCUGACGUGGUGAUAUAGCAGCUUGGAUGACUUGUGCUUUCGCAUGGUUACCACUGCAUUGCACGUCAUUGCUGGAAAAUAUUUGGAGGUCCCUGAUACUGGAGCAUUGUCAGUUGUGAUAUGCUUAUGGUUUAAAACAUGGGAUGUUAGUUAUCAUUUACAUUUUCUUAUUACCUCUAUAUGGAGAGAAGGGAUUUUAUUGUAUAUGAUAUUUAAACAAGGCAUGGAACGUUCAAAAGUCCUGUUUGCAUCAAAUUAUCACCAUGUGCUUGAUCCCAAGAAUUGGCCACAUGAAUUCUAUGCAAAAAAUUGCACCUUGUGAUUGGUUAUUUUGCUGCGAAG